UUUUUGUUAAAAAAUUAUUAAAACAUUAAAUGGAUUCCUAAACAUCAAAAAAUUUUGUGGACGUGAUAAAACGAAAAACGUUAAAAUGAGUUAUUUUUAAUUUUCCAUAAUUGAGAAAUUGAAUUCUAUAUUUUUAGAAUGCACUAUAACGUCAUAUAGUGUAAUAGUUAGUGAACUGAAUCAUCUAAGUAACUAAUAUAUUAAAAAUCAACCGAGAAUCUGAUAAUAGCGGCGAGCGAAUUUGGAUAAACAAUUAAAAGUUUUUAACAAUUUUUAGAAUAUUAAAAGCCAUAGAAGGAAAGCUAAAUGAAACAAGAGAGCCCUGUAUAAAUAAAUUAAAAACUUAAUAUAAGUAAAAUAAUACAAGUCGUGUAUUGUUUGAAUCUUGAGGGACCAUCCUCAAAGUUUAAAAUUUUUGAUGAUUGAUAGUGCAAAGUACCGUGAGGGAAUGGUGAAAAAAAUGUGUAAAAAUAAUAGACUUUGUGAAAUUUAAUGUUGACAAGCAGUUAGCGCUUUUUAAAAGUAAUAACGUACUUUUUGCAUAACGGACCAACAAGUUUAUUUUAGUGGCGAGCUUAAAUAUAAAAAUUAUGUAGGCGCAAAGAAAUUAAAUAUUAAAUUGUAAAUAGUCUCUAGAAUAAAACCCGAAACUAAGUGAUCUAACCAUGAGCAAGUUGAAGUUUAAAUUUCGAUUUAAUGAAGGACUGAACCCGUGUAUGUGGCAAAAUACUGGGAUGACUUGUGGUUUGGAGUGAAAGGCUAAUCAAACUUAGAAAUAGCUGGUUUUCUGCGAAAUCUAUUUUAGUAGAGUGUUUGAAUUAUUACUUUUUCUAGGGUAGAGCUCUCAAUAAGCUAUGGGGAUAGAUUUAUCUUACUGAUCUUAAUGAAACUUCCAAUAUAGAUUAAAAAAAGGUUUUCAAGCAAACAAACUAUGAGUGCUAAGAUUCAUAGUUAAAAGGGAUACAGCCCAGACUAUUAGUUAAGGUCCUAAAAAGUAAUUAAGUGUAAAAAUCGUGAAAAAAUGUUGACAAUCGAUAGGUAGGCUUAGAAGCAGCCAUCCUUUAAAGAAAGCGUAACAGCUCAUUGAUAGAGUUUUUUUGCGUUGAAAAUUAAAAGGGACUUAAAUUACUAACCGAAACUAUAGAUUUUGUAUAUUUUUACAAAAUGGUAGCAGAACGUUCUGUAUAUUAAAGAAGAUUUAUGGUAACAUAAGUUGGAAAAAUCAGAAGUGAACAUGUUGGUAUGAGUAGCUAUAAACAAUGUCUUUCUUCGUUCGGCGAAGUCGGUGAAACAUUGUCACCUUAAGUUCUAGGUUUUCGGGAUUCCAAGGAUUAACCGUCUCGACUUAAGCGGUCUCUAAGAAAAAAACGAAAGUUUUUGUUGAUGAGGAAAGAAAAAAAAUUCUUUUUUUGUUUUAUAGUGACAAAAUACAAAUAUAAUUUUAUUAUUGAAAAAGUGUGAAAAUAUAAAAAGUUAUAUAGUAUUUUCAGGAAAUAGCUAAAAACAAUAUUUAAACCGUACUAAAAUCGACACAGAUGAACUAGUUUAGUAAAUUAAGGUGGUUGAGAGAAUUAUGUUGAAGGAACUCGGCAAAUUUACUCCGUAACUUCGGAAUAAGGAGGGACUUUAUUUAGGGAAACCUGUAAAGUUGUCACGAAAAUGGGAGUAGCGACUGUUUAAUAAAAACACAGGUCUUUGCUAAUUCGUAAGAAGAUGUAUUGAGACUGACGCCUGCCCAGUGCUGCAAGAUUAAAGGAAAUUGUUUACAGCAUUUUCCCUAAACCCCAGUAAACGGCGGCUGUAACUCUGACGGUCCUAAGGUAGCAAAAUUCCUUGGCAUUUAAUUGGUGUCCUGCAUGAAUGGCGUAACGACUGCUCCGCUGUCUCCAACAGAAACUCAGUGAAAUUGAAUUUUCCGUGAAGAUGCGGAAUACUUACGGCUAGACGGAAAGACCCUGUGCACCUUAACUAUAGUUAUACAUUGUAUCAAAAAUUUUUGUGUGUAGUAUAAGUGGUAAGCUAAAUUUUUUAUUUUCAUUUCUGGAAAUAAAAAAAACCAAAAGAUGUGCUUGCGCUAGCAAGUUAUUUUAAUAGCAUCAAGUGAAAUACCACUCUCCAAAGUUUUUGGUACUUAUUUUAGACAGUGUGUAAGUGGUAGUUUGACUGGGGCGGUCGCCUCCUAAAAAGUAACGGAGGCGCGCAAAGGUGAAUUUGAAUUGAAUAUUAUCAGUUUUAAAGCGUAAUAGUAUAAAUGUUUGCUUGACUGUAAGAUUGACAAAUCGAGCAGGGACGAAAGUCGGUUAUAGUGAUCCGGUGAUUCUGAAUGGAAAUGGUCAUCGCUCAACGAAUAAAAGGUACGUCAGGGAUAACAGGCUAAUCACUCUCUAGAGACCCUAUCGACGGGGUGGUUUGGCACCUCGAUGUUGGAUCAUCGCAUCCUGGGGCUGUAAGUGGUCCCAAGGGUUUGGCUGUUCGCCAAGGAAGGCGGUACGUGAUCUGAGUUUAGAACGUUGUGAAACAGUUUGGUCCCUAUCUUCCGUGAGUGAAGAAAAUUAGAAGGAGUAAACCUUAGUACGAGAGGACCGGGAAAAGCGAAUCUAUUGUGUAUCGAUUGUUCUAACAUUGUCAUCGUCGAGUAGCUACGUUCGUAAUAAAUAAUCGCUGAAAGCAUUUAAGUGAGAAAUUAACCUUGAAACUAGUUUUUGAACAAAUGUGAUAGAUGAUCACAAAAAUAGGCUUAAUGUGUGAGAAUUUUAAGAUUUUUAGCUAAUAAGUACUAAUUUAACAAAUUUUUUAACAUUUUUA
RNAcentral lists this ribosomal RNA (2805 nucleotides) under Navicula tsukamotoi. Its description in RNAcentral is "Haslea tsukamotoi large subunit ribosomal RNA". It matches the Rfam family "Bacterial large subunit ribosomal RNA". Lineage: Eukaryota; Bacillariophyta; Bacillariophyceae; Naviculales; Naviculaceae. The record is from RNAcentral.